GUGUCAGCAGCCGCGGUAAUACAGAGGUCCCAAGCGUUGUUCGGAUUCACUGGGCGUAAAGGGUGCGUAGGCGGUCGGGUAAGUUUGAUGUGAAAUCUCUGGGCUUAACCCAGAAAUGGCAUUGAAUACUAUUCGGCUAGAGAGUCGGAGGGGGGACUGGAAUACUUGGUGUAGCAGUGAAAUGCGUAGAUAUCAAGUGGAACACCAGUGGCGAAGGCGAGUCCCUGGACGAUUUCUGACGCUGAGGCACGAAAGCUAGGGGAGCAAACAGGAUUAGAUACCCCGGUAGUCC
RNAcentral lists this ribosomal RNA (292 nucleotides) under uncultured bacterium. RNAcentral describes it as "partial 16S ribosomal RNA". It matches the Rfam family "Bacterial small subunit ribosomal RNA", at positions 505 to 796 of the family's 1533-position model. The record is from RNAcentral.